This 141-nucleotide ribosomal RNA is filed under the name uncultured eukaryote. RNAcentral's name for it is "partial 18S ribosomal RNA". It matches the Rfam family "Eukaryotic small subunit ribosomal RNA", at positions 1299 to 1458 of the family's 1831-position model. The record is from RNAcentral.
UGGUGGAGUGAUUUGUCUGGUUAAUUCCGCUAACGAACGAGGCCCCUGCCUGCUAAAUAGCCCAAUGAGUGAAUUUCACUUAUUGGGGCUUCUUAGAGGGGCGUGCAUUCUAAUAGAUGCAGGAAGAUAGGGGCAAUACCA